RNAcentral lists this non-coding RNA (21 nucleotides) under Caenorhabditis elegans. Lineage: Eukaryota; Metazoa; Nematoda; Chromadorea; Rhabditida; Rhabditidae. The record is from RNAcentral.
UCUUGUUUAAUAGGAUUCGCA